Molecule: ribosomal RNA, 425 nt
Filed under: uncultured bacterium
Lineage: Bacteria
Description: bacterial SSU rRNA
Rfam family: Bacterial small subunit ribosomal RNA
Source: RNAcentral
GGGGAAUAUUGGACAAUGGGGGCAACCCUGAUCCAGCCAUGCCGCGUGAGUGAAGAAGGCCUUCGGGUUGUAAAGCUCUUUCGGCCGGGAAAAAAUCGCAUGGGCUAAUACCCUGUGUGGAUGAUGGUACCGGAAUAAGAAGCACCGGCUAACUACGUGCCAGCAGCCGCGGUAAUACGUAGGGUGCGAGCGUUAAUCGGAAUUACUGGGCGUAAAGCGUGCGCAGGCGGUUUUGUAAGACAGGCGUGAAAUCCCCGGGCUCAACCUGGGAACUGCGCUUGUGACUGCAAGGCUAGAGUACGGCAGAGGGGGGUGGAAUUCCACGUGUAGCAGUGAAAUGCGUAGAGAUGUGGAGGAACACCAAUGGCGAAGGCAGCCCCCCGGGCCGAUACUGACGCUCAUGCACGAAAGCGUGGGGAGCAAAC